Molecule: ribosomal RNA, 253 nt
Filed under: uncultured bacterium
Lineage: Bacteria
Description: partial 16S ribosomal RNA
Rfam family: Bacterial small subunit ribosomal RNA
Source: RNAcentral
GACGAACCGUGCUAACGUUGUUCGGAAUCACUGGGCUUAAAGGGCGCGUAGGCGGUUUGCCAAGUCAGGGGUGAAAUCUUUCGGCCCAACCGGAAAAGGGCCUUUGAUACUGGCAGACUCGAGCGAGGUAGGGGCAGAUGGAACUUCCGGUGGAGCGGUGAAAUGUGUUGAUAUCGGAAGGAACGCCGGUGGCGAAAGCGAUCUGCUGGACCUCUUCUGACGCUGAGGCGCGAAAGCCAGGGGAGCAAACGGG